GGGGCCCUGUGUUUACAAUGAUCCAACGUCCAGGGAUAAACGGUGGACUCUUAUAAAAAAAAAAAUCUAUUUUAUAUUUUUUCCAUACAUAAGUUAUACAUUCAUAUUAAUUACACAGAUUGAGUUUGCGUAUAAAUUAUUCACAAUAUUCUACCAGUAAAUAAAAUACAUCAAAAGUCCCCCAAAACACACUAUAAUCUACACAAUAAUUUACCUUUACUUAUACAAUUGACAUUUUAUUUUUUGUACUUUUAACACCUGGAUUACAUUGUUAUGUGUCGGUCAGUGAUUUUAUAGGUCACAUGCUCGACCUUGUAAAUGCGUGUAUUGUAUAUUUCUAUAGUUGGAUGUAUUAUUAUGUUCUAAAAAGAAAAGGAAAGUAAGUACAAAUUAUUACGUCACUUACUAAUGUAUAAGAUUUGUUAUAAGUUUUAUUUCAGC
RNAcentral lists this long non-coding RNA (441 nucleotides) under Mytilus galloprovincialis (Mediterranean mussel). The record is from RNAcentral. Lineage: Eukaryota; Metazoa; Mollusca; Bivalvia; Mytilida; Mytilidae.